GAUGAACGCUGGCGGCGUGCCUAAUACAUGCAAGUCGAGCGAACAGACGAGGAGCUUGCUCCUCUGACGUUAGCGGCGGACGGGUGAGUAACACGUGGAUAACCUACCUAUAAGACUGGGAUAACUUCGGGAAACCGGAGCUAAUACCGGAUAAUAUAUUGAACCGCAUGGUUCAAUAGUGAAAGACGGUUUUGCUGUCACUUAUAGAUGGAUCCGCGCCGCAUUAGCUAGUUGGUAAGGUAACGGCUUACCAAGGCGACGAUGCGUAGCCGACCUGAGAGGGUGAUAGGACACACUGGAAGUGAGACACGGUCCAGACUCCUACGGGAGGCAGCAGUAGGGAAUCUUCCGAAAUGGGCGAAAGCCUGACGGAGCAACGCCGCGUGAGUGAUGAAGGUCUUCGGAUCGUAAAACUCUGUUAUUAGGGAAGAACAAAUGUGUAAGUAACUAUGCACGUCUUGACGGUACCUAAUCAGAAAGCCACGGCUAACUACGUG
This 497-nucleotide ribosomal RNA is filed under the name uncultured bacterium. Its description in RNAcentral is "partial 16S ribosomal RNA". It matches the Rfam family "Bacterial small subunit ribosomal RNA", at positions 28 to 507 of the family's 1533-position model. The record is from RNAcentral.